Physcomitrium patens is the source of this 389-nucleotide non-coding RNA. The record is from RefSeq and is a predicted model, not a curated record. Lineage: Eukaryota; Viridiplantae; Streptophyta; Bryopsida; Funariales; Funariaceae.
CCCAUCGAAGCACAAACCUCGAAGUUAUGUCUCCGUCUCCGUGUGAGUUUGUGUUAUGUGUUCAGCAUCAUAGCAAGACAGUGAUCGGCCAUCAGAUAUGAGUUGAGGAAGAUCGUCUUCUUCGCGAUUCCUUGCUGUGCGAGCUUUCUUUGUUGGCUGUUUGCUCUGGAUUGAUGAAUUGAAGAGAGCGAUCAUGAAAACUGGUUGAUGUCGUUGGAAGGCAUUCUCGGUGGGAUGUUCGACGUUUUCACGAACGGAGGAGCGGAGGAACUUGUUUUGAAAUGAUUAUGGCCAUGUUCUGCAUGGACGUUAUCGCGACACGAGGGCUGUAGCAUUACACCGAGAGCAUCUGCCGAGCCGCACUAAAGCCAAGCGCAUCACCGCUGUAA